This is a long non-coding RNA of Juglans microcarpa x Juglans regia, 526 nucleotides long. RefSeq lists it as uncharacterized. NCBI's taxonomy places the organism in Eukaryota, Viridiplantae, Streptophyta, Magnoliopsida, Fagales, Juglandaceae. The transcript has 2 exons. The record is from RefSeq and is a predicted model, not a curated record.
GUCUCUCUCUCUCCACCCUCCUCAAACUUACUCUCUCACACCUCUCUCUUUUGUAAUCUAUUUUUCGUCGGAAACCAGAACUCUCUCUCUCUCUCUCUCUCUCUCUCUCUCUCUCUCUAUCCUCAUGAUUCUUCAACCGUGUCUCUCAAAUCUCAUCUACAAAUAUUUCCUGUGUUUGGUCUCAAAGAAAAUGAAGAAAACUGCAACCUAGAUCAGCCGACGAAGAACACGGUUAUUCUUCAUGGGAAAGAUCGUGUAUAUGUUAACAGUCUGCAUCUUGUGUUGUAAUAUGUGCUAAGGGAAAUACAAAUGAACGAUGGAAGAAGCAGCAACCGCAGUGCAAAGAGGGUGUUUUUGUUUCUGGCUUUGUUCUUGUUUGGUUUUCGUGUAUAUGGUAUAGUGUUUUAGUGAUUUUGUAGAAAUUUCGAAAUCUUAGAAAUCUUCCUCCUUAAAUCGGAGAGGUUGAUUUUUUUCUUUUUUAAAUCUGGGUGUAAUGUUCUCUAAUGAAGAAUUUUUGAAGUGUGAA